Long non-coding RNA from Apis mellifera (honey bee), 1651 nucleotides. RefSeq lists it as uncharacterized. The transcript is spliced from 2 exons. Lineage: Eukaryota; Metazoa; Arthropoda; Insecta; Hymenoptera; Apidae. The record is from RefSeq and is a predicted model, not a curated record.
UCUAAUUUUUCUUUUGCUAAUAAAAAGUUCGGGCAAAUUUAUAGUGAUUUUAUCUAUAACUAGACAAGAAAUACUGAUGUUAAAUUUAUUAUAUAAUAAAUAUUGAUAAAAAAGAAAAUUGAUGUGUUCUUAAGAAGUACGAGAAGAUGAUUUUUUGUGUCAUGAAUUCUUUUAAUGCGAUGGAAAAUCUGUUUUUGAUCGAUGCAUCAGAUUUAAAAACGUGUCCACAUGAUAAUAGCGAAGAUUCAUGGUUUUCUUAUAUCAUGUAAACUCUCUCAAGCUAACCUAUAAUUUGUUUCGAAUACAUCCAAAAAUUGGAUUGCGUGAGCAUGAUAAUCAAAUCUUGUAAUAAUCUAAUAAAGAUUUAUUAUUCUAAACUAUUAUUCAAUGAAUAAACGUAUCUCUGAUUUAAUCCAAUCCUUAGGAGUUCUUUAGGAAUUCAAAAAUUGGCAAUUUUAUUUGCAACAAAAUUAUCAGAUGCUACUGCUGGAUAAUAGCAGGGAAUGCGAUCGGUCAUAAUAAUGAAGGAAGAUUUUUUUCUCUUUUGAGCGUGCAUCUUCUACCGUGGCUGUUAUGUUAAAAUUUUAAAAUUCUCGAACUGCGUGAUGUUUCUAACUCAAUACCUGUGACAAUUUGUUUUAUGCUUUCUUGCAUAUACAUUUGUCAUAUAACAACCUACGCCUCAUAUCCAUUUUUUGAGUGCUAUAAGCAUUACUAUACGAUAGUUCGAAUUCUUCGAAAAAUUUCUUAAAUUAUGUUAAUGAGAUUAAAUAUAUAUACUCGCUAAUACUUUUAAUUAAGCUUUCAUCUCUGCCAAUGUAAGGACAAAAAUUUGUUUAUUGAAAUUAGAUGGAAGAAUAUAUCAACGAUGCUAAAAUUGAUAGUAUUUAGAAUGCUGGUUGUUACAAAGUCGGUCAUGAUGCCGUUGGAUCGAGAAUUUGAUUCAACUUCACAAGCUGAUGAUUGCAUUGAUCUUUGUUCUUUCAGAUCGAAUCAGGAAUGCAUUGGCGGAUCUUUAAUGCUAAAGUGAAUUCUUUUUUAAUAAUAAUGAUUCUUGAUUGAUGUCCACUGGAUACUGAAUUCACUUUUAAAUAUUUAUCUUUUGAUUGUAUCCGAUUCAAAGGACUAAAUAUUAAAGUCUAAACUAAAUGAUUUUGAAUAUUGCAAAUGGAAUAUCUGAACUGAUAGUAUUACUCGAUUUACUGUUGUAGAAUUGUACAAUCGUUUGUCUUAUAAAAAUAAACGAAUGAUAAUUUACUUUAAUUGUUUACGGGUUGAUUGAUGACUAAUUGUAAUGAUUUUAAUUGUACUAAUGUGCUACAUUGUUGCUGAAUUCUAUCUAAUUUAAAUUUAUUUUAUUCAAAUUGAUUUAAUCUAGAAGAUGUCUUGUCUUAUCUUUUUCUCCAAUCAUUAUUUUCCGUGAAAAUACAAAAAACUAAAAGGAUGUUAGAGAAACCAAGAAGGACGAUUUCGAAAGAUGGACCCUCAUGAGAUCGCGUCGCAGUCCGUGGAAGUUAAAACUGCUGCGAUCGCUUUCAUAAUUCAUCGCAAGACAUUAGGAGCGCAAAUAUAUCUUGUGAAUUAUUUCUAGAAUAUUAAAAAUGCUUAUGUUGUUGAAAAUAAAAUCCAAAUUAUCUAAUCAUUUCACAAA